RNAcentral lists this ribosomal RNA (377 nucleotides) under uncultured bacterium. Its description in RNAcentral is "bacterial SSU rRNA". It matches the Rfam family "Bacterial small subunit ribosomal RNA", at positions 29 to 410 of the family's 1533-position model. The record is from RNAcentral.
AUUGAACGCUGGCGGCGUGCCUAACACAUGCAAGUCGCACGCGAAAGGGAGCAAUCCCGAGUAGAGUGGCGGACGGGUGAGUAACGCGUAGGAAUCUACCUAGUAGUGGGGGACAACCCGGCGAAAGCCGGGCUAAUACCGCAUACGACCUAAGGGUGAAAGCCGGGGAUCGCAAGACCUGGCGCUAUUAGAUGAGCCUGCGUCCGAUUAGCUAGUUGGUGAGGUAACGGCUCACCAAGGCAACGAUCGGUAACUGGUUUGAGAGAACGACCAGUCACACUGGGACUGAGACACGGCCCAGACUCCUACGGGAGGCAGCAGUGGGGAAUCUUGGACAAUGGGGGCAACCCUGAUCCAGCGACGCCGCGUGUGUGAAG